This 71-nucleotide transfer RNA is filed under the name Bacteriophage sp. RNAcentral describes it as "tRNA-Met". It matches the Rfam family "tRNA". Rfam says of the family: Transfer RNA (tRNA) molecules are approximately 80 nucleotides in length. Their secondary structure includes four short double-helical elements and three loops (D, anti-codon, and T loops). Further hydrogen bonds mediate the characteristic L-shaped molecular structure. tRNAs have two regions of fundamental functional importance: the anti-codon, which is responsible for specific mRNA codon recognition, and the 3' end, to which the tRNAs corresponding amino acid is attached (by aminoacyl-tRNA synthetases). tRNAs cope with the degeneracy of the genetic code in two manners: having more than one tRNA (with a specific anti-codon) for a particular amino acid; and 'wobble' base-pairing, i.e. permitting non-standard base-pairing at the 3rd anti-codon position. The record is from RNAcentral. RNAcentral also lists the same sequence under 1 other name.
UGGGAUGUUAGCAGCGGUAGCUAGUCAGCCUCAUAAGCUGAAGGUCGGGAGUUCGAAUCUCCCUCCCGCAA